This 1437-nucleotide ribosomal RNA is filed under the name uncultured bacterium. RNAcentral's name for it is "bacterial SSU rRNA". It matches the Rfam family "Bacterial small subunit ribosomal RNA". The record is from RNAcentral.
AGAGUUUGAUCAUGGCUCAGAACGUACGCUGGCGGCACGCCUAACACAUGCAAGUCGAACGAAGUAGCAAUACUUAGUGGCAGACGGGUGAGUAACAUGUAGGUAUCUGCCCUUUGGCCUGGAAUAACACGAGGAAACUUGUGCUAAUACCGGAUAAGUCUUUACGGAGAAAGCUUUAUGCACCAUUGGAUGAGCCUGCACUUGAUUAGUUUGUUGGUGGGGUAAUGGCCUACCAAGACUGUGAUCAAUAGCUGAUUUGAGAGGAUGAUCAGUCACAUUGGGACUGAGACACGGCCCAAACUCCUACGGGAGGCAGCAGUGGGGAAUCUUGCACAAUGGAGGAAACUCUGAUGCAGCGAUGCCGCGUGAGUGAAGAAGGCCCUUGGGUUGUAAAGCUCUUUCGUCGGGGAAGAAAAUGACUGUACCCGAAUAAGAAGGUCCGGCUAACUUCGUGCCAGCAGCCGCGGUAAUACGAAGGGACCUAGCGUAGUUCGGAAUUACUGGGCUUAAAGAGUUCGUAGGUGGUUGAAAAAGUUAGUGGUGAAAUCCCAGAGCUUAACUCUGGAACUGCCAUUAAAACUUUUCAGCUAGAGUAUGAUAGAGGAAAGCAGAAUUUCUAGUGUAGAGGUGAAAUUCGUAGAUAUUAGAAAGAAUACCAAUUGCGAAGGCAGCUUUCUGGAUCAUUACUGACACUGAGGAACGAAAGCAUGGGUAGCGAAGAGGAUUAGAUACCCUCGUAGUCCAUGCCGUAAACGAUGUGUGUUAGACGUUGGAAAUUUAUUUUCAGUGUCGCAGGGAAACCGAUAAACACACCGCCUGGGGAGUACGACCGCAAGGUUAAAACUCAAAUGAAUUGACGGGGACCCGCAUAAGUAGUGGAGCAUGUGGUUUAAUUCGAAGAUACGCGCAGAACCUUACCAACACUUGACAUGUUCGUCGCGACUCUAAGAGAUUAGAGUUUUCGGUUCGGCCGGACGAAACACAGGUGCUGCAUGGCUGUCGUCAGCUCGUGUCGUGAGAUGUUGGGUUAAGUCCCGCAACGAGCGCAACCCUCACUUUUAGUUGCCAUCAUUAAGUUGGGCACUCUGAAAGAACUGCCAGUGAUAAGCUGGAGGAAGGUGGGGAUGACGUCAAGUCCUCAUGGCCCUUACGUGUUGGGCUACACACGUGCUACAAUGGUAUCUACAACAGGAAGCAAGACUGCGAAGUUAAGCAAAUCCCUAAAAGAUACCUCAGUUCGGAUUGCACUCUGCAACUCGAGUGCAUGAAGCUGGAAUUACUAGUAAUCGUGGAUCAGCGUGCCACGGUGAAUGCGUUCCCGGGUCUUGUACACACCGCCCGUCACACCAUGGGAGUUGGUUCUACCUUAAGGCAAGGUUUCAAACCCUUGACCACGGUAUAGUCAGCGACUGGGGUGAAGUCGUAACAAAGGUAACC